RNAcentral lists this ribosomal RNA (413 nucleotides) under uncultured bacterium. RNAcentral describes it as "bacterial SSU rRNA". It matches the Rfam family "Bacterial small subunit ribosomal RNA", at positions 917 to 1333 of the family's 1533-position model. The record is from RNAcentral.
GGGCCCGCACAAGCGGUGGAGCAUGUGGUUUAAUUCGAUGAUACGCGAGGAACCUUACCAGGGCUUAAAUGUAGUGGGACAGGUCUAGAGAUAGACCCUUCUUCGGACUCAUUACAAGGUGCUGCAUGGUUGUCGUCAGCUCGUGCCGUGAGGUGUCAGGUUAAGUCCUAUAACGAGCGCAACCCCUAUUCUUAGUUGCCAGCGGGUAAUGCCGGGAACUCUAAGGAGACUGCCAGCGCAAGCUGCGAGGAAGGUGGGGAUGACGUCAAAUCAUCAUGCCCCUUACAUCCUGGGCUACACACGUACUACAAUGGCCGGUACAGAGAGCAGCCACUACGCGAGUAGGCGCGAAUCUUCAAAGCCGGUCUCAGUUCGGAUCGGAGUCUGCAACUCGACUCCGUGAAGCUGGAAUC